GGACCCGCACAAGUAGUGGAGCAUGUGGUUUAAUUCGAAGAUACGCGCAGAACCUUACCAACACUUGACAUGUUCGUCGCGACUUUAAGAGAUUAAAGUUUUCGGUUCGGCCGGACGAAACACAGGUGCUGCAUGGCUGUCGUCAGCUCGUGUCGUGAGAUGUUGGGUUAAGUCCCGCAACGAGCGCAACCCUCACUUUUAGUUGCCAUCAUUUAGUUGGGCACUCUGAAAGAACUGCCAGUGAUAAGCUGGAGGAAGGUGGGGAUGACGUCAAGUCCUCAUGGCCCUUACGUGUUGGGCUACACACGUGCUACAAUGGUAUUUACAACAGGAAGCAAGACGGCGACGUCAAGCAAAUCCUCAAAAAAUACCUCAGUUCGGAUUGCACUCUGCAACUCGAGUGCAUGAAGCUGGAAUU
RNAcentral lists this ribosomal RNA (418 nucleotides) under uncultured bacterium. RNAcentral's name for it is "bacterial SSU rRNA". It matches the Rfam family "Bacterial small subunit ribosomal RNA", at positions 917 to 1333 of the family's 1533-position model. The record is from RNAcentral.